UACGGAGGGUGCGAGCGUUGCCCGGAAUCACUGGGCGUAAAGGGCGCGUAGGCGGCCUGAUAAGUAGGGGGUGAAAUCCUGCGGCUUAACCGCAGGGCUGCCUUCUAAACUGUCAGGCUCGAGCACAGUAGAGGCAGGUGGAAUUCCCGGUGUAGCGGUGGAAUGCGUAGAGAUCGGGAAGAACAUCAGUGGCGAAGGCGGCCUGCUGGGCUGUUGCUGACGCUGAGGCGCGACAGCGUGGGGAGCAAACAGG
This 253-nucleotide ribosomal RNA is filed under the name uncultured bacterium. Its description in RNAcentral is "partial 16S ribosomal RNA". It matches the Rfam family "Bacterial small subunit ribosomal RNA", at positions 524 to 776 of the family's 1533-position model. The record is from RNAcentral.